UACAGAGGGUGCAAGCGUUGCUCGGAAUCAUUGGGCGUAAAGGGUAGGUAGGUGGUCUCAUUUGUCCGGGGUGAAAUCCUUGAGCUUAACUCAAGAAGUGCCCUGGAAACGGUGAGACUGGAGUCCUGGAGAGGGUCGUGGAAUUCCCGGUGUAGCGGUGAAAUGCGCAGAUAUCGGGAAGAACACCCGUGGCGAAGGCGGCUCUCUGGGACGGUACUGACGCUGAGACGCGAAAGCGUGGGGAGCGAACAGG
Molecule: ribosomal RNA, 253 nt
Filed under: uncultured bacterium
Lineage: Bacteria
Description: partial 16S ribosomal RNA
Rfam family: Bacterial small subunit ribosomal RNA
Source: RNAcentral